UUUUGUUCUAAUUUGUUCAUAAUGUUGUUUCCUUCCUCUGUUUCUUUCUCUAGUACACAAAGAAUGUCAGGGUGACGUGUUUCAAAAUCCAGCAUACUUCAAGGUUGCUUGCAGAACUGAAGGAAUGGAAGAAGUGACCGCAAACUGAGGGCAAAGUUUCAAACACUGAAGUGACUUCGAGGUCACGAGAAACCGCAUUUGUAGAACCACAUGUGCAGUUUCACCAAACGGCAGUGAAUGUCUACAGUGUGAUCGACUGAUGUGUUUGCCGUUUAAGAUGCUGGUUGGGGGCAGGGGUGGGACACCGGCCAGCAUUUCUAUUCAAGACCCUUUGAGUGAUGUGACUCUUCCUUAUAUAAUGUCUCUGAUAUAACCUUUUCAUCAGUUUCAGUGUAAUUACAUGAUUUAGUACAUUUUGAUUUUAAAUGCAUGUGCUGUAUGUUUAUAAUACAAUGCAAACCCAAAUGUUUCUUGUAUGUGAGGUGUGUCUUUCACUGAAAUACUAACCUAUCAGAUUUUAUCAAACACAGUCACAUGGU
This is a long non-coding RNA of Archocentrus centrarchus (flier cichlid), 539 nucleotides long. RefSeq lists it as uncharacterized. The record is from RefSeq and is a predicted model, not a curated record. The transcript has 3 exons. NCBI's taxonomy places the organism in Eukaryota, Metazoa, Chordata, Actinopteri, Cichliformes, Cichlidae.